GGGUUGUGAGGUUAAGCGACUAAGCGUACACGGUGGAUGCCCUGGCAGUCAGAGGCGAUGAAGGGCGUGCUAAUCUGCGAUAAGCGCCGGUAAGGUGAUAUGAACCGUUAUAACCGGCGAUACCCGAAUGGGGAAACCCAGUGUGAUUCGUCACACUAUCAUUAACUGAAUCCAUAGGUUAAUGAGGCGAACCGGGGGAACUGAAACAUCUAAGUACCCCGAGGAAAAGAAAUCAACCGAGAUUCCCCCAGUAGCGGCGAGCGAACGGGGAGGAGCCCAGAGCCUGAAUCAGCAUGUGUGUUAGUGGAAGCGUCUGGAAAGGCGCGCGAUACAGGGUGACAGCCCCGUACACAAAAGCGCAUGUGCUGUGAGCUCGAUGAGUAGGGCGGGACACGUGGUAUCCUGUCUGAAUAUGGGGGGACCAUCCUCCAAGGCUAAAUACUCCUGACUGACCGAUAGUGAACCAGUACCGUGAGGGAAAGGCGAAAAGAACCCCGGCGAGGGGAGUGAAAAAGAACCUGAAACCGUGUACGUACAAGCAGUGGGAGNNNNNNNNNNNNNNNNNNNNNNNNNNNNNNNNNNNNNNNNNNGGGCGUUAAGUUGCAGGGUAUAGACCCGAAACCCGGUGAUCUAGCCAUGGGCAGGUUGAAGGUUGGGUAACACUAACUGGAGGACCGAACCGACUAAUGUUGAAAAAUUAGCGGAUGACCUGUGGCUGGGGGUGAAAGGCCAAUCAAACCGGGAGAUAGCUGGUUCUCCCCGAAAGCUAUUUAGGUAGCGCCUCGUGAAUUCAUCUCCGGGGGUAGAGCACUGUUUCGGCUAGGGGGCCAUCCCGGCUUACCAACCCGAUGCAAACUGCGAAUACCGGAGAAUGUUAUCACGGGAGACACACGGCGGGUGCUAACGUCCGUCGUGAAGAGGGAAACAACCCAGACCGCCAGCUAAGGUCCCAAAGUCAUGGUUAAGUGGGAAACGAUGUGGGAAGGCCCAGACAGCCAGGAUGUUGGCUUAGAAGCAGCCAUCAUUUAAAGAAAGCGUAAUAGCUCACUGGUCGAGUCGGCCUGCGCGGAAGAUGUAACGGGGCUAAACCAUGCACCGAAGCUGCGGCAGCGACACUGUGUGUUGUUGGGUAGGGGAGCGUUCUGUAAGCCUGCGAAGGUGGCCUGUGAGGGUUGCUGGAGGUAUCAGAAGUGCGAAUGCUGACAUAAGUAACGAUAAAGCGGGUGAAAAGCCCGCUCGCCGGAAGACCAAGGGUUCCUGUCCAACGUUAAUCGGGGCAGGGUGAGUCGACCCCUAAGGCGAGGCCGAAAGGCGUAGUCGAUGGGAAACGGGUUAAUAUUCCCGUACUUGGUGUUACUGCGAAGGGGGGACGGAGAAGGCUAUGUUGGCCGGGCGACGGUUGUCCCGGUUUAAGCGUGUAGGUGUGUGUUCCAGGUAAAUCCGGUUCACUUUAACACUGAGGCGUGACGACGAGGCACUACGGUGCUGAAGCAACAAAUGCCCUGCUUCCAGGAAAAGCCUCUAAGCAUCAGGUAACAUCAAAUCGUACCCCAAACCGACACAGGUGGUCAGGUAGAGAAUACCAAGGCGCUUGAGAGAACUCGGGUGAAGGAACUAGGCAAAAUGGUGCCGUAACUUCGGGAGAAGGCACGCUGACACGUAGGUGAAGUGAUUUACUCAUGGAGCUGAAGUCAGUCGAAGAUACCAGCUGGCUGCAACUGUUUAUUAAAAACACAGCACUGUGCAAACACGAAAGUGGACGUAUACGGUGUGACGCCUGCCCGGUGCCGGAAGGUUAAUUGAUGGGGUCAGCGCAAGCGAAGCUCCUGAUCGAAGCCCCGGUAAACGGCGGCCGUAACUAUAACGGUCCUAAGGUAGCGAAAUUCCUUGUCGGGUAAGUUCCGACCUGCACGAAUGGCGUAAUGAUGGCCAGGCUGUCUCCACCCGAGACUCAGUGAAAUUGAACUCGCUGUGAAGAUGCAGUGUACCCGCGGCAAGACGGAAAGACCCCGUGAACCUUUACUAUAGCUUGACACUGAACAUUGAGCCUUGAUGUGUAGGAUAGGUGGGAGGCUUUGAAGUGUGGACGCCAGUCUGCAUGGAGCCGACCUUGAAAUACCACCCUUUAAUGUUUGAUGUUCUAACGUGGACCCGUUACCCGGGUUGCGGACAGUGUCUGGUGGGUAGUUUGACUGGGGCGGUCUCCUCCUAAAGAGUAACGGAGGAGCACGAAGGUUGGCUAAUCCUGGUCGGACAUCAGGAGGUUAGUGCAAUGGCAUAAGCCAGCUUGACUGCGAGCGUGACGGCGCGAGCAGGUGCGAAAGCAGGUCAUAGUGAUCCGGUGGUUCUGAAUGGAAGGGCCAUCGCUCAACGGAUAAAAGGUACUCCGGGGAUAACAGGCUGAUACCGCCCAAGAGUUCAUAUCGACGGCGGUGUUUGGCACCUCGAUGUCGGCUCAUCACAUCCUGGGGCUGAAGUAGGUCCCAAGGGUAUGGCUGUUCGCCAUUUAAAGUGGUACGCGAGCUGGGUUUAGAACGUCGUGAGACAGUUCGGUCCCUAUCUGCCGUGGGCGCUGGAGAACUGAGGGGGGCUGCUCCUAGUACGAGAGGACCGGAGUGGACGCAUCACUGGUGUUCGGGUUGUCAUGCCAAUGGCACUGCCCGGUAGCUAAAUGCGGAAGAGAUAAGUGCUGAAAGCAUCUAAGCACGAAACUUGCCCCGAGAUGAGUUCUCCCUGAGACUUAGAGUCUCCUGAAGGAACGUUGAAGACGACGACGUUGAUAGGCCGGGUGUGUAAGCGCAGCGAUGCGUUGAGCUAACCGGUACUAAUGAACCGUGAGGCUUAACCUUACAACGCCGAAG
Molecule: ribosomal RNA, 2861 nt
Filed under: Salmonella enterica subsp. enterica serovar Enteritidis
Lineage: Bacteria; Pseudomonadati; Pseudomonadota; Gammaproteobacteria; Enterobacterales; Enterobacteriaceae
Description: bacterial LSU rRNA
Rfam family: Bacterial large subunit ribosomal RNA
Source: RNAcentral